CUCUAGCCCAUGUUAUAUUUUUUUUUCUAAUUCAUAGGUAUGAUCUUUCUCGUUUUCUCCACUCUGCCGUUGACUAUUUAUGACCGCUGAUCACACCCUUACUGGUAACUUGUGCUUGCAGGACUUCUUGCGAGUGGCUCCUUUCCUUUGGAACAACCUACCUACCCACAUCAUACUCUCCAUUAGUCUUCAAUCAUUUAAGAAGUCCAUCAAUACCAUCUCUUUAGCAAAGCCAUAUUUCUUGCUGCUGCUAGAAAGGAUGGAAGAUGGCUGUCUGACCCCCAGCAACAACCUCCAGUGACAGGUAGGCUUGGUGUGUGUGUGUGUGUCUCUCUCUGCUAGUGAGGAAGCUUGUGUGUGUGUGUGUGUGUAUGAACUCAGCAGUCUGUGUGUGUAUGGACUCAGCAGUCUGUGUGUGUGUGUGUGUGUGUGUGUGUGCAUGGACUCAGCAGUCUGUGUGUAUGGACUCAGCAGUCUUUGUGUGUGUAUGUGUGCAUGGACUCAGCAGUCUGUGUGUGUAUGUGUAUGGUGUAUGGACUCAGCGGUCUGUGUGUGUGUGUAUGGACUCAGCGGUGUGUGUGUGUGUGUGUGUGUGUGUGGACUCAGCAGUCUGUGUGUGUGUGGACUCAGCAGUCUGAGUGUGUUUGGACUCAGCAGUCUGUGUGUGUAUGGACUCAGCAGUCUGUGUGUGUGUGUGUAUGAACUCAGCAGUCUGUGUGUGUAUGGACUCAGCGGUCUGUGUGUGUGUUUGUGUGUAUGGACUCAGCAGUCUGUGUGUAUAUGGACUCAGCAGGCUGUGUGUAUGUGUAUGGACUCAGCAGUGUGCGUGUUUGUGUGUGUGUGUAUGGACUCAGCAGUCUGUGUGUGUGUAUGAACUCAGCAGUCUGUGUGUGUGUGUAUGGACUCAGCAGUAUGUGUGUGUGUGUGUGUGUGUAUGAACUCAGCAGUGUGUGUGUGUGUGUAUGGGACUCAGCAGUAUGUGUGUGUGUGUGUGUAUGGACUCAGCAGUCUGUGUCUGUGUAUGGACUCAGCUGUCUGUGUUUGUGUGUCUGUGUGUGUGUAUGGACUCAGCAGUCUGUGUGUGUGUGUGUGUGUGUGUGUGUGUGUGUAUGGACUCAGCAGUCUGUGUGUGUGUAUGGACUCGGCAGUCUGUGUGUGUGUGUGUGUGUCUGUGUGUGUAUCGGACCUGUGCAGGCUGUGUGUCUGUGUGUGUGUGUAUGGACUCAACCCGGUCUGUGUGUGUGUGUGUGUGUGUGUGUCUGUGUGUGUUUAUAUGGACACAGCAGUCUGUGUGUGUGUGUGUGUGUGUCUGUGUGUGUAUUUGGACUCAGCAGGCUGUGUGUGUGUGUGUGUGUAUGGACUCAGCAGUCUGUAUGUCUGUGUGUGUGUGUAUGGACUCAGCAGUGUGUGUGUGUGUGUGUAUGGACUCAGCAGUCUGUGUGUAAGUGUAUAAAUCAGCCUUUGUGCAUUCAGCGACACCUGUGUGCAUUCAGGAGUCUGUGUGCAUUCCGAAAUCUGUGUGUGUGUGUGUGUGUAUUCAGCAGUCUCUCUGUGUUAGUAUUCAGUGUACUGUGUGUAUGUACUCAGCAGUGUAUCAAUAAUUUAAAUUUUUAUUCCUGUGAGUUGUUGUGUAGGAAGGGCCCCAGUGCACUGCUUUGCCCGGGGCCCUUAACACUGUUAAGAUGGUACUGCUUGUGUGUGUCAGUGAGCUUCUAUUUAGUGAGCAUGUGUGUGUCAGUGAGCUUGUCUUUAGUGAGCUUGUGUGUGUCCCUGAACUUCUUUGUAGUGAGCCUUGUAUUUAUACAAGUGAGUUUGUUUGUAGUAAGCUUGUGUGUGAGUCAGAGUUUUUUGUCUGUCAGUGAGUCUAUUUGCGCAUGUCAGUGAGCUUGUGUGCUCACUGUACAAUAUAUAUAUAAAAAAAAAAUAUAUAUAUAUAUACAGUCAAUGAAGGCUUGCACUCAUGGUCCUUUCUUCAUAAAAAAUUUCCUUUAUUUCAUCCCAUUAAAAUAUGAUCGACAUUUCAGCCAUCGUCUGUGGCUUUCAUCAGGAUCAAUACAGCUCAAAGCUGAUCCUGAUGAAAGCCACAGACGAUGGCUGAAACGUCGAUCAUAUUUUAAUGGGAUGAAAUAAAGGAAAUUUUUUUGGAGAAAAGACCGUGAGUGCAAUCCUUCAUUGACUGUAUAAUAUUUUUUGGCAAUGGCUAGAAUGCACCCGGCGUUUUGAAUAAGUUAAAGGCUAACAAGUGUGAGCACAAGGAGCAAUAAGAAACUAUAUUUAUAUAGGAUUCAUGUGCCCCCCCCCUAAAAAUGAAUCCUAUAGACGCCACUGAUGCCAUAUCUCCAGCUAGAUUUGCUGGAUAUGCCCCCCAGCUCAAAGAGCUAAGCUCUAACUUUCCAAACCACUAUAAAACCUGUACAUGGGAGGUAUUGUUUUACUCGUGAGUAGUGAUGUCCCGAACGGUUCGCCGAACGGUUCGUGAACGGUUCGCCACGAACGGUUCGCCACAGACUCAUCAUUGAGUAAACUUUGACCCUGUACCUCACAGUCAGCAGACACAUUCCAGCCAAUCAGCAGCAGACUUUCCUCCCAGACCCUCCCACCUCCUGGACAGCAUCCAUUUGAAGCUGCAGUCUUAGUGAGCUGUCCAGGAGGUGGGAGGGUCUGGGAGGGAGGGUUUGCUGCUGAUUGGCUGGAAUGUGUCUGCUGACUGUGAGGUACUGGGUCAAAGGUUACUCAAUGAUGAGUCCGCGGUGAACCGUUCGGGACAUCACUACUUGUGAGACAUCACUGAAUGCAAAUAUGUUUACUUUAUUGCAGUAACAGCUAACAGUAUUAUGACAAUCUCAGUUAAAAUGCCAUGCAGAACUAAAAAAAUAACAAAAUGUCUUAAUUUCUCACAAUUUGUUUUACAUUUUAUUCACAUUAAAUUAUAUUUAAUAAAUAAAUAUUUGAAAUUAAAUUAAAGCCCAGUUUCUCAUGAAUAAAAUGAUAUAUAAUAAGUGUGGGUGCACUUAAUAUGAAAGAGAUGAAUUACGGUUGAACAGACAUAUAGCGCAAAUUCCAGUUUUUGUUUACAUUUUGUUUUGAUCAGAACGUGUCCAAUUGACUCGGUCCUGAAGGGGUUAAAACAAGUAUUGACAUACAGUGACAACAUGUUGACAGAGACAUCAUCUGAAGAUGGUAUAGAAUUUCUGAAUGCAGAAUGAGCUUGUGAGAAUGGAUCUCUGGAACACAGUGAACAAUUUCACACCAGCAUCUGCUCCUGAUGGGGACUCUUCCACUCUGGGAGAAAAAGGACAGAAAAACAAGGACUUAUGGGAAGGCUUAGAAGAUUAGUAUGGAAGUAACGGUCUAAAAAAAUUCAGUUUAAAAGUGUUUAGGGAGGAGACAUAGAGAAACAUCUGAAUCAAAUUUCAGAAAAUACUAUCAUUUAGAUUCUAUUGGCAAAAAAAACAAUGAAGAAGAUAAAGUGAUCCUGAUUUUAUCAAAUCUUCCAUAAAGCUAUAAUUCAUUAAUUCAUGCACUGGAAACUAGAGAGAAUCUCUCUGUAAAAUAUGCCUUAGAGAAGAGUCAUUCUGGCGAGCUGCAGAAAGUAGUGAAACACAAGCAUUUGCAAUAGAAAACACAGAGAAGCUGAUCACCGCAGCCAAGAGAUUAAAUUUGCACAAAAAGGGUAAAAACAAAAAAGUUUCAGUUCCUCUAAUAUGUGUGAAGCCUGUAAUACAGAAAAGAUUAUUACGGCCGAAGAAAUUUCAUAGUUCAAUCACAG
RNAcentral lists this long non-coding RNA (3769 nucleotides) under Pelobates cultripes (western spadefoot toad). Lineage: Eukaryota; Metazoa; Chordata; Amphibia; Anura; Pelobatidae. The record is from RNAcentral.